GUUUGCUCCCUCAAUUCCCUCUUCUUCCUCUAUAAUUCACGUUCAAUGUUAAGCUCGAACCGCAAGUGUUAGGAGUUAAAGAUAUAGGUUGCUAUUAGUAGUUGUAUGAAUACCAAAUAUCCUCUUGUAAUCUGAUAUUUGAAUCAAUAAACGAGAAUUAUCUUUCUUCUCUAGAACUCUUUUCCCUCUCUUCUUCUACUUGCUCCCUUAUCUCUUCUAUUUUCUCUCUCAAUUCCAUCUUCUUCCUCUCUAAUUCACCUUCACUGUUAAGCCCAAAUCACAGGUCAUAACAUUUGGUAUUAGAGCAGUAGAUUUUGUGAGAUCAAUGCUUCCUCUCUUCCCUUCUACUUUAUCUUUCCCUUAAACUCUUAUUCUCCUUCUUAAACUCUUAUUCUCCUUCUUCUUCAUCUUUUUCUUCAACCCUAGGGUUUGUUCUCUCUUUCUUAUUCUUUUUUAUCCAU
This 461-nucleotide unclassified non-coding RNA is filed under the name Hevea brasiliensis (rubber tree). Lineage: Eukaryota; Viridiplantae; Streptophyta; Magnoliopsida; Malpighiales; Euphorbiaceae. The record is from RNAcentral.